AUUGAACGCUGGCGGCAGGCCUAACACAUGCAAGUCGAGCGGAUGAAGGGAGCUUGCUCCUGGAUUCAGCGGCGGACGGGUGAGUAAUGCCUAGGAAUCUGCCUGGUAGUGGGGAUAACGUCCGGAAACGGGCGCUAAUACCGCUUACGUCCUGAGGGAGAAAGUGGGGGAUCUUCGGACCUCACGCUAUCAGAUGAGCCUAGGUCGGAUUAGCUAGUUGGUGGGGUAAAGGCCUACCAAGGCGACGAUCCGUAACUGGUCUGAGAGGAUGAUCAGUCACACUGGAACUGAGACACGGUCCAGACUCCUACGGGAGGCGGCAGUGGGGAAUAUUGGACAAUGGGCGAAAGCCUGAUCCAGCCAUGCCGCGUGUGUGAAGAAGGUCUUCGGAUUGUAAGGCACUUUAAGUUGGGAGGAAGGGCAGUAAGUUAAUACCUUGCUGUUUUGACGUUACCAACAGAAUAAGCACCGGCUAACUUCGUG
Molecule: ribosomal RNA, 483 nt
Filed under: uncultured bacterium
Lineage: Bacteria
Description: partial 16S ribosomal RNA
Rfam family: Bacterial small subunit ribosomal RNA
Source: RNAcentral